GGAAACAGGUGCUAAUACCGUAUAACACUAUUUUCCGCAUGGAAGAAAGUUGAAAGGCGCUUUUGCGUCACUGAUGGAUGGACCCGCGGUGCAUUAGCUAGUUGGUGAGGUAACGGCUCACCAAGGCCACGAUGCAUAGCCGACCUGAGAGGGUGAUCGGCCACACUGGGACUGAGACACGGCCCAGACUCCUACGGGAGGCAGCAGUAGGGAAUCUUCGGCAAUGGACGAAAGUCUGACCGAGCAACGCCGCGUGAGUGAAGAAGGUUUUCGGAUCGUAAAACUCUGUUGUUAGAGAAGAACAAGGAUGAGAGUAGAACGUUCAUCCCUUGACGGUAUCUAACCAGAAAGCCACGGCUAACUACGUGCCAGCAGCCGCGGUAAUACGUAGGUGGCAAGCGUUGUCCGGAUUUAUUGGGCGUAAAGCGAGCGCAGGCGGUUUCUUAAGUCUGAUGUGAAAGCCCCCGGCUCAACCGGGGAGGGUCAUUGGAAACUGGGAGACUUGAGUGCAGAAGAGGAGAGUGGAAUUCCAUGUGUAGCGGUGAAAUGCGUAGAUAUAUGGAGGAACACCAGUGGCGAAGGCGGCUCUCUGGUCUGUAACUGACGCUGAGGCUCGAAAGCGUGGGGAGCGAACAGGAUUAGAUACCCUGGUAGUCCACGCCGUAACGAUGAGUGCUAAGUGUUGGAGGGUUUCCGCCCUUCAGUGCUGCAGCAAACGCAUUAAGCACUCCGCCUGGGGAGUACGACCGCAAGGUUGAACUCAAAGGAAUUGAC
Molecule: ribosomal RNA, 774 nt
Filed under: Enterococcus sp. NDRI-PAPB 11
Lineage: Bacteria; Bacillati; Bacillota; Bacilli; Lactobacillales; Enterococcaceae
Description: bacterial SSU rRNA
Rfam family: Bacterial small subunit ribosomal RNA
Source: RNAcentral